GGCUUACCGGAUAAAAGCUACCCCGGGGAUAACAGGCUGGUGAGAUCCAAGAGUUCACAUCGACGAUCUCGCUCGGCACCUCGAUGUCGGCUCAUCGCAUCCUGGGGCUGGACAAGGUCCCAAGGGUCGGGCUGUUCGCCCGUUAAAGCGGUACGCGAGCUGGGUUCAGACCGUCGUGAGACAGGUCGGUCUCUAUCCGCUGUGGGCGUAAGGGAUUUGAAGGGGAGCUGCUCCUAGUACGAGAGGACCGGAGUGGACAGACCUCUAGUGUGCCAGUUGUUCCGCCAGGAGCAUCGCUGGGUAGCCAUGUCUGGCAAAGAUAACCGCUGAAAGCAUCUAAGUGGGAAACUUGCCCUAAGAUUAGAUCCCUGUGACCCGUAAGGGUGUAAGACCGCAGGUAGACUACCUGCUUAAUAGGCAGCAUGUGUAAGCACAGUAAUGUGUUAAGCUAAGCUGUACUAAUGGUCGA
Molecule: ribosomal RNA, 469 nt
Filed under: uncultured bacterium
Lineage: Bacteria
Description: bacterial LSU rRNA
Rfam family: Bacterial large subunit ribosomal RNA
Source: RNAcentral